GUUAGGAAUAUUGGGCAAUGGAGGAAACUCUGACCCAGCAACGCCGCGUGAAGGAAGAAGGUUUUCGGAUUGUAAACUUCUGAUCUAGGGGAAAAAGAAAGUGAUGGUACCCUAGGAGAAAGCCACGGCUAACUACGUGCCAGCAGCCGCGGUAAUACGUAGGUGGCAAGCGUUGUCCGGAAUGACUGGGCGUAAAGGGAGCGUAGGUUGUUGUUUAAGUUAAAUGUGAAAGCCCGUGGCUCAACUACGGAACUGCAUUUAAUACUGGACAACUAGAGUGCAGGAGGGGUAAGCGGAAUUCCUAGUGUAGCGGUGGAAUGCGUAGAUAUUAGGAAGAACACCAGAGGCGAAGGCGGCUUACUGGACUGUAACUGACACUGAGGCUCGAAAGCGUGGGGAGCAAACAGGA
RNAcentral lists this ribosomal RNA (409 nucleotides) under uncultured bacterium. RNAcentral describes it as "bacterial SSU rRNA". It matches the Rfam family "Bacterial small subunit ribosomal RNA", at positions 354 to 777 of the family's 1533-position model. The record is from RNAcentral.